Molecule: non-coding RNA, 901 nt
Organism: Misgurnus anguillicaudatus (oriental weatherfish)
Lineage: Eukaryota; Metazoa; Chordata; Actinopteri; Cypriniformes; Cobitidae
Source: RefSeq, a predicted model, not a curated record
UAACAACUAAUGUAGUGCUGGAUUCGCGCGCAUGCGCGCUGUUGUCAAGGAAACACUUGAUGAAUGCGUUUUCCCAUCAAAAGGACACAUGGAUGCUUAUUUCUAUUUGAAAUGAACACUCCAGGAGGAGAACCAGCCCGUAUACUGCUCUUGAUUGGAGGAGCUGAUUUGAUCUGAUGUCACAGACCCUUCCUCAAACCCAAGGGGCUUAUGCACCUUUAUUUUGAAACAAUGCAUCAGAUCUUUGAAGUUUUUCUUGGGGCAAGAGGUCAGUGGAAGAAGUGCAGUGGAGGAAGGCAAAAUUUUCAUUUGAUUGUACCACAUUUGUCUCAGAGGACUCUCAGCACAAGCGGUUUUUGUGUUAAUGGAGCGUGUCUGCCCUGUGGUGGUGAGCCAUUGGGACGCAGCGAUGGCACACAUGGCCCAGGUGAAACUGCAACCAAAUGAUUAAUGACUUUGUGCUCAGGUGCAGGCACGGGCUUGUCCGGGUGCCAGCUCAUUCGCACAUGCCCUGCCAUCUUGUUUCCAAAGGGCACCAGCUAGUGCUAACUAAUCCAUCUCUUUUCAAAAAGAGGAGCAAAGUCUCAUUCUGAUGUUGUGUAACUGAUGUUUGUGUUUUAUACUAUGGGGUGCAAAACAAACCAGGAUCUCAUUUACAUAAUUACUCUCAUUAUUCACACGAAAUCGGUGAUGUGCUUCUAAGUCUGAUUUAGAAAAAUCUAUAUACAGUAUUAUGUUAUCUUUCUCACCUGGCAUGCAGACCAUACCCUGUGCCCAGGUGGAUCUAAAACCUUUAGAAAGCAGCUUGGAAUCUUCAUCACAAUCACAUUUGCAAGUUUUUUCAGCCCAUGUCUCAUUGCCAUCCUGAACGCAGAGUAAACAAGAGUAAAUUAUGGUAAAA